UACGUAGGGGGCAAGCGUUGUCCGGAUUUAUUGGGCGUAAAGAGCGUGUAGGCGGCCUGAAAGGUCAGCUGUGAAAACUCGAGGCUCAACCUCGAGACGCCGGUGGAAACCAUCAGGCUAGAGUCCGGAAGAGGAGAGUGGAAUUCCUGGUGUAGCGGUGAAAUGCGCAGAUAUCAGGAAGAACACCCGUGGCUAAGGCGGCUCUCUAGUACGGUACUGACGCUGAGACGCGAAAGCGUGGGGAGCGAACAGG
Molecule: ribosomal RNA, 253 nt
Filed under: uncultured bacterium
Lineage: Bacteria
Description: partial 16S ribosomal RNA
Rfam family: Bacterial small subunit ribosomal RNA
Source: RNAcentral